UGUGGUUAAUUCGAUGCAACGCGAAGAACCUACCUGGUCUUGACAUCCCGGAGACCCUUAGGAAACUAGGGGGUGCUUCCAUCUGGAAGAAUCUGGAGACAGGUGCUGCAUGGCUGUCGUCAGCUCGUGUCGUGAGAUGUUGGGUUAAGUCCCGCAACGAGCGCAACCCUUGCCCUUAGUUGCCAGCAGUUCGGCUGGGCACUCUAAAGGGACUGCCGGUGUUAAACCGGAGGAAGGUGGGGAUGACGCCAAGUCCUCAUGGCCUUUAUGACCAGGGCUACACACGUACUACAAUGGCCGAUACAAAGGGCAGCGACACUGCGAGGUGAAGCCAAUCCCGUAAAAUCGGUCUCAGUCCGGAUUGGAGUCUGCAACUCGACUCCAUGAAGUUGGAAUCGCUAGUAAUCGUGGAUCAGCAUGCCACGGUGAAUACGUUCCCGGGCCUU
Molecule: ribosomal RNA, 446 nt
Filed under: uncultured Desulfobulbus sp.
Lineage: Bacteria; Pseudomonadati; Thermodesulfobacteriota; Desulfobulbia; Desulfobulbales; Desulfobulbaceae
Description: bacterial SSU rRNA
Rfam family: Bacterial small subunit ribosomal RNA
Source: RNAcentral